Acanthaster planci (crown-of-thorns starfish) is the source of this 1738-nucleotide long non-coding RNA. RefSeq lists it as uncharacterized. The record is from RefSeq and is a predicted model, not a curated record. Lineage: Eukaryota; Metazoa; Echinodermata; Asteroidea; Valvatida; Acanthasteridae.
GCAGCACUGGAUGAACUGAAGGUUGGCAUUCUUCGAAAAAAGUGGGAGAAGUCAGAUGAUGAAGUAGCAGAUGAUGUAGACUAUAAUUACUUCGAACUGGUAUCAGUCGUCGGGUUUGACCACAUUCCUUGUCGGGACAUUACUUCACCCCCCCCCUUCUGCUACUGAAUAAUGAGAUGACCAGCAGACGAAACUGGAAGGCCGAUGGAAAUCCAGAGAGCUUGACAAAUGACGAAAGUCCAGUGAAAUCGGGAACAAAGAAGAGGGGGCGCAAGGAAUGUGGAUUUCGGGGAAAUGAUCCGAUGACUGUUCGUGGCAGGGGUGGCUGUUCAGCGGGCCUUGUACUUUAUCGGACCGAAGACAUCUGAGCGAUUUAAUUCAAGAAGAAAGAGGGGAACAAACGGUGACGCCGAUAACGCGUUUUUGGUGAAAGUAACGGCAAUAUAAUAUCAGGCGUCAGCCGGUGAUUGACCUCGCGCAUGAGUAGGACACGCAACCAGGAACAGCCUGUAGUCCAUGGUUUGGGAUUGGGAAAAUAAGUAAGCAACUAAACUUUGUUAGUUCAAAGUGAGCAACCGUUUUCCAAAGUAUACUGGAUAGCGCACCCCAUAUUGCGGUGCACAAAAAUCCCUGAUUCAACUUUCUGAGCCUCUUAAAUAAAUAAUUUGCGGGUUAAAGAUUACAUAAACUGUUAUUUUAAAAAACGGGUGUAAAUAAGAAUAAACUUAGUGUGCAUAAAACAGCCUGAAAAAGUCCAGCUGCCCUUUUGUGAUUAAGAGUCUCUCGAAAUAGUAGGCGCAUGAGCGUAUUUGGGUCUCCAAAGAUGGCGCCCACGGGCGUCCAACAAACGGUCCAGACGCUCUUCAGAGAUGCAUUUUUUAAUGAUAGGCCCUGACCGAGAUUGUCCAGUUCAUGAAAUUAUAGGAAAACCGAUUAGGUACUGUUACUUGAAAGGCAGCUGGUAUGAAUUUAUCUCGAUUUGGUUACAUAUGGGGGAAAAUUGCUGUGUACUGCGUGCAUAUAGUAAAAACUUCGUGUCUUUGAGAAACAAUUGCCUGAUUUGUUAGAAUGCUGAUCAGUCAACUGAUCCUGAGCUAUCACCAAGACCUUUGUUUGUUUUUCAGAAUAAUGCAAGUUUCGUACUGCAUGUUUGUUUGUUUCAAUUUUACUUUACUUAAUCAUCUUUUGUUUAUUUUGGAGCAGCAUGUCACAUGUAUUUAAAUUAUUCUCUGUAAUCGUGCAUGAAAUCGUUGUUGUCUUGGUGAAAUAUGAAUCCUUAUCAUUUAAUGGUGGUGUCUCCACGAGACGCUUUCUGACGUCAGAACCCUUCUCAGAGAUCGAACAGCUCUUACGUUUGAUAUAACAGGUCAAGAAACUUAUAAUAGUAUCAAAAUCGCUGUAGGGCGGUAAGCCACUGACACUAUCGGCAGAUGAAUACUAAAUUCAUUUUCCAAAAUACUCUGGCAGUGACGUGGAUAACUAUAUAUAUACAGUAUUAAAUUGCCCUGUCUGAAAAAGACGCAUUGCUGAAUGGGUGAGAGAUUCUUUUCCAAGUUAAAUUCUCCAUCUAUACAAACUCUUUGGCCUUCCGUUCAACAAAAUUAUGAGCGUCUUGCAAUCUAACUAUAACCUUGGUUUGUGUGCAUUGUAACAUGUAUAUGUAGGUGUGAUACUUCCCCAGCCUUAUCGCUGCCCUCGGCAAACAAUGUUUACCUUCUCUGAAUCUUUUGACGACUAA